This 393-nucleotide ribosomal RNA is filed under the name uncultured bacterium. Its description in RNAcentral is "bacterial SSU rRNA". It matches the Rfam family "Bacterial small subunit ribosomal RNA", at positions 505 to 898 of the family's 1533-position model. The record is from RNAcentral.
GUGUCAGCCGCCGCGGUAAGACGUAGGGGGCCAGCGUUGCUCGGAAUUACUGGGCGUAAAGGGUUCGUAGGCGGUGCGGUAAGUCGGAAGUGAAAUCUCUGGGCUUAACUCAGAGGCUGCUUUCGAAACUGCCGUGCUGGAGUGCGGGAGAGGCGAGUGGAAUUGCAGGUGUAGCGGUGAAAUGCGUAGAUAUCUGCAGGAACACCCGUGGCGAAGGCGGCUCGCUGGACCGCAACUGACGCUGAGGAACGAAAGCUAGGGGAGCAAACAGGAUUAGAUACCCUGGUAGUCCUAGCCCUAAACCAUCAGGACUUGGGGUGGCCCGCGUUGGCGGGUCGUCCCGGAGCUAACGCGUUAAGUCCUGCGCCUGGGGAGUACGGUCGCAAGGCUGAA